Peromyscus californicus insignis is the source of this 1151-nucleotide long non-coding RNA. RefSeq lists it as uncharacterized. The transcript is spliced from 4 exons. The record is from RefSeq and is a predicted model, not a curated record. Lineage: Eukaryota; Metazoa; Chordata; Mammalia; Rodentia; Cricetidae.
UGCAGUGGCUAAGGGGAUUAGAAGAAGGUUGAGCGCCUCCAGCCUGCCCCUGGCGGCCGACGAUGGGCAAGCAGGCAGGAGGCGCGCCGGCGUGAUUCCGACCGCGGGAGCCGGGAGGAGGAGCCGGAGGUGGCUGCGGGGGGCUCCGGCCCAGGCGUAGGAAGGGCAACAGGAGGUUCGGGCCGGGGGCGGUGCCAGGAGGUGUCCCGAGGCUACUGAUACUUCUGGAACUCUGGCCCUCACAGCUCCUAGACAGCAAUCACACAGCUACCACAAGCAACAUGCUUCUUAGACCAGAUCUCACACAACCCAAGCUGAUUUGGAACUCAUUAUAUAGCCCAGAUGACCUUGGUCUUCCUACCCAUGCUGGUCAGUUUUUGUCAACUUGACACAAACCAGAGUCACCUUGGGAAGAAGGAACCUCAGCUGAAGAAUUGCCUCCAUCAGAUUGGCCUGUGGGCAUGUCGCUGGAUUGUAGGAGAAAGCAGGUUGAGUACGCCAUGGAGAGCAAGCCAAUGCUGUGGUGGCGGCACACCUGUCAGCAGCUCCAGGAUGACACUCUCACACCUUCAAGCCCGGGUGAAUGAAGAGCAUGCCUUCCUGGCUCUCUAAGUAUCUCACAGUCAGACCACAGGGUUUGGUCCAAACCAGCCACUAUGCAGCUCUGCAUGGUCCAUAAGACAUCCUGGAGUCCUGAUUGAACAUAAUGCACUCUGCUCCAUCCAGAAGGCUAUGCACAAGGCAGAUUUGGAUGAUCUGAUCUUUUGGACGAUGAAUGAGAUGCUACACAGCUCUGUAUGUGGGUAAGGCUCUCUGCAUCUCGGCACUGUACACAGGGCCCUCUGCCGCUCAGCACGACAGGUAAGAUGCUCUAUAGCUCUCCUGGGUGAGGCAUGGCUCAUGUGUGACUCUCAUGCCAGGGAGUUAACCCCAUCUGAAGCACUCAGGCUGGAAGUGAUGAGAGUAAUAGUUGCCCAGGUAAGGAAUUGGGAUGCUGGGGACCGACUGGAGAGACAGCUCAGCACUAAGAGCAUGAACUGCUCUUGCAGAGGACCUGAGUUCCGUUCCCAGCACAUGAAUGAAUCUAGCGGCUCACAACCACCUGUAACUCCAGAUCUAGGGGUAUCUGAUGCUUUUGGCCUUGAUGGGUA